GGGGCUCGGAUGAGGGGGAGAUGUGGCCCGAGGAGGGCCAUUCUAUUUAGACACGUCUUCUCUGUGGGACUGGGUUGCUUGGUGAGGGACGAGGGUGAGAGCGGUGCAGUACGAGACAGGGUGAAUAGGUUUCCGGAGGACCAACCGUUCAGGUUAGUGGCGGUAAGGGGGAGGCGCCGCGCGGGCUACAAUCCUCCCCCUGCGGUUUUCUGGAGGGUCUAGGAGCUGUGUGUCGUGGCAACGCUAACGCUUUUGUGGUUUCGCCGGACUAUCCCGGGCCCCUGCAGUGGUGAUCAGGCUUGUGCGGGAUCCCUUUUCUUUAUAAGGCUACUUCUCCCCUGGACCAGCCCAGGAAGGGACAGGUGGUGGAGGUCAGUUGUUUUAAGGUGGUUGCAGGACGUCUUGUGGUGUCGAGCUCUCUUAGCCUUUCUCUCUUGGAGGUUUUUUUUUUUGUUGGCCUGUUAGGUAUAUCAGGAGCCCUCCCCUGCCGGGACUGCCCUAACCGAAUUUUUGUUUGUUUGUUUGUUUUCCCUUCGAAUCCCGUUUUCGUUGGUGGUGUUUUGGGGGGUUGUUUCAGAGAGCCUUUGACUUUGCCCUAGCUGAGACUUGUGGACUCGCUCUAGCGGGACCUGAGAGCCCUUCGUGGUGUAUUCAAUGCAGCGCCAUCCCCGGAUGGAGGGGCUGUGGAGUGGCUGCGUAGAGUGUUGGCAGUCUGAGUCGGGGUCGGGAGCACACAAG
Molecule: long non-coding RNA, 738 nt
Filed under: Volvox carteri
Lineage: Eukaryota; Viridiplantae; Chlorophyta; Chlorophyceae; Chlamydomonadales; Volvocaceae
Description: long non-coding RNA (VCAR_LNC000040)
Source: RNAcentral